Molecule: ribosomal RNA, 232 nt
Filed under: uncultured bacterium
Lineage: Bacteria
Description: partial 16S ribosomal RNA
Rfam family: Bacterial small subunit ribosomal RNA
Source: RNAcentral
UGAGGAACAUGACCUUCGGCGGGGGAUAGCCGGCCCAACGGCCGGGUAAUACCGCGUACGACCACUCUGGGACAUCCCUAGGUGGUGAAAGCAGCAAUGCGCCGAUGGAGUGCCUCGCGGCCUAUCAGCUAGUUGGUGAGGUAACGGCUCACCAAGGCGACGACGGGUAGCUGGUCUGAGAGGAUGGCCAGCCACAUUGGGACUGAGACACGGCCCAGACUCCGUAGGACGG